GUCUUUUUGAUAAUAAUUUAAAGUCUCGCCUGCCCACUGAUUAAUUAAAUGGCCGCGGUAUUUUGACCGUGCAAAGGUAGCAUAAUCAUUAGUUUUUUAAUUGAAAGCUGGAAUGAAUGGUUGGAUAAGAAAAAUACUGUCUCAAGUUAAUUUUAUUUGAAUUUUAUUUUUAAGUUAAAAAGCUUAAAUAAUUUUAAAAGACGAGAAGACCCUAUAGAGUUUUAUAAUAACAAUUUAUUUUUAUUUUAAGAAUUUUUUAUAAAAUUUUAUUUUUAUUAUUUGAUUGGGGUGAUUGAAAAAUUAAAAAAACUUUUUUUAUAUUUAAACAUUAAUUUAUGAAUAAAUGAGCCAUUAAUUGAUUAAAAGAAUAAAUUACCUUAGGGAUAACAGCGUAAUUUUUUCAAAGAGUUCAAAUCGAAGAAAAAGAUUGCGACCUCGAUGUUGGAUUAAAGUAUAUAUUUGGUGUAGAAGCUAAAAUAUUGGGUCUGUUCGACCUUUAAAACUUUACA
This 509-nucleotide ribosomal RNA is filed under the name Beccariola papuensis. RNAcentral's name for it is "partial 16S ribosomal RNA". It matches the Rfam family "Bacterial large subunit ribosomal RNA", at positions 1819 to 2600 of the family's 2925-position model. The record is from RNAcentral. Lineage: Eukaryota; Metazoa; Arthropoda; Insecta; Coleoptera; Endomychidae.